Molecule: ribosomal RNA, 499 nt
Filed under: uncultured bacterium
Lineage: Bacteria
Description: partial 16S ribosomal RNA
Rfam family: Bacterial small subunit ribosomal RNA
Source: RNAcentral
GACGAACGCUGGCGGCGUGCCUAAUACAUGCAAGUCGAGCGAAGUUUUUCUGGUGCUUGCACUAGAAAAACUUAGCGGCGAACGGGUGAGUAACACGUAAAGAACCCGCCUCAUAGACUGGGACAACUAUUGGAAACGAUAGCUAAUACCGGAUAACAGUAUUUCUCGCAUGAGAGAUAUUUAAAAGUUGGUUAUGCUAACACUAUAAGAUGGCUUUGCGGUGCAUUAGCUAGUUGGUGGGGUAAAGGCCCACCAAGGCGACGAUGCAUAGCCGACCUGAGAGGGUGAUCGGCCACACUGGGACUGAGACACGGCCCAGACUCCUACGGGAGGCAGCAGUAGGGAAUCUUCCGCAAUGGGCGAAAGCCUGACGGAGCAACGCCGCGUGAGUGAAGAAGGAUUUCGGUUCGUAAAGCUCUGUUGUUAGGGAAGAAUGGAUAUGUAGUAACUAUACAUGUAAGAGACGGUACCUAACCAGAAAGCCACGGCUAACUACGUG